CUUGCUCUCCUAUAAGAGGUCCAGCCUGCCCAGUGACUUAAUUCAACGGCCGCGGUACCCUAACCGUGCGAAGGUAGCGUAAUCACUUGUCUUCUAAAUAGAGACUAGUAUGAAAGGCAUCACGAGAAUUUAACUGUCUCCUUUUUCCAAUCAGUGAAACUAAUCUUCCCGUGAAGAAGCGGGAAUCCAAAAAUAAGACGAGAAGACCCUAUGGAGCUUUAAACACUAACCACCUGCCCAAUCUUAUAAAACCCCGGUUCCUAAACCAACGCAUCAUGACUACGUGUUUUUGAUUGGGGCGACCACGGAAAAUAAUCAAACCUCCGUAAUGAAAACCUACAAGCCACAGCUUUAAGUAUCAACAAAUUGACAUCCAUUGACCCAAUAUAUUGACUAAUGAAC
This 402-nucleotide ribosomal RNA is filed under the name Pristimantis chiastonotus (Brownberg robber frog). RNAcentral's name for it is "partial 16S ribosomal RNA". It matches the Rfam family "Bacterial large subunit ribosomal RNA", at positions 1834 to 2457 of the family's 2925-position model. The record is from RNAcentral. Lineage: Eukaryota; Metazoa; Chordata; Amphibia; Anura; Strabomantidae.